GACGAACGCUGGCGGCGCGCCUAACACAUGCAAGUCGAACGGAGCUUGAGAGAGCUUGUCUUUUUUAAGUCUUAGUGGCGAACGGGUGAGUAACGCGUGAGUAACCUGCCCUGGAGUGGGGGACAACAGUUGGAAACGACUGCUAAUACCGCAUAAGCCCACAGCUCGGCAUCGAGCAGAGGGAAAAGGAGUGAUCCGCUUUGAGAUGGCCUCGCGUCCGAUUAGCUGGUUGGUGAGGUAACGGCCCACCAAGGCGACGAUCGGUAGCCGGACUGAGAGGUUGAACGGCCACAUUGGGACUGAGACACGGCCCAG
RNAcentral lists this ribosomal RNA (315 nucleotides) under uncultured bacterium. Its description in RNAcentral is "bacterial SSU rRNA". It matches the Rfam family "Bacterial small subunit ribosomal RNA", at positions 28 to 334 of the family's 1533-position model. The record is from RNAcentral.